CCUACGGGAGGCUGCAGUGAGGAAUAUUGGUCAAUGGGCGGAAGCCUGAACCAGCCAAGUAGCGUGCAGGAUGACGGCCCUACGGGUUGUAAACUGCUUUUAUACGGGAGUAACGCGCCUUACGUGUAGGGCUUUGCAUGUACCGUAUGAAUAAGGACCGGCUAAUUUCGUUCCAGCAGCCGCGGUAAUAAGGAGGGUCCGGGCGUUAUCCGGAUUUGUGGGGUUUAAAGGGAGCGUAGGCGGAAGGUCAAGCGUGCUGUGAAAUGUCCGGGCCCAACCCGGGCGUUGCAGCGCGAACUGGCAGGCUUGAGUCCGCGGAAGGCAGGCGGAAUUCGAGGUGGAGGGGUGAAA
Molecule: ribosomal RNA, 351 nt
Filed under: uncultured bacterium
Lineage: Bacteria
Description: partial 16S ribosomal RNA
Rfam family: Bacterial small subunit ribosomal RNA
Source: RNAcentral